Molecule: long non-coding RNA, 155 nt
Organism: Mobula hypostoma (lesser devil ray)
Lineage: Eukaryota; Metazoa; Chordata; Chondrichthyes; Myliobatiformes; Myliobatidae
Exons: 3
Source: RefSeq, a predicted model, not a curated record
GAUCAAUUCAGCUGAGUAAUGUCACUGUACAAACUUUGGAAUCAGGUGAAAAAAAAUUACAGAGUGACGCUAGUUUGCAAACAGAAAAGGUACAAAGAGUACAACUUGAUUCAGAUGAGAAAACUGUUCAAGAACCCAUUGGAGUAGAACGUGAA